UUUCCUACGGGAGGCAGCAGUGAGGAAUAUUGGUCAAUGGGCGGAAGCCUGAACCAGCCAAGUCGCGUGAGGGAAUAAGGCCCUACGGGUCGUAAACCUCUUUUGCCGGGGAGCAAGGGCGGGGACGUGUCCCGGCCCGGAGAGUACCCGGAGAAAAAGCAUCGGCUAACUACGUGCCAGCAGCCGCGGUAAUACGUAGGGGGCAAGCGUUAUCCGGAUUUACUGGGUGUAAAGGGAGCGUAGACGGCAGCGCAAGUCUGGAGUGAAAUGCCGGGGCCCAACCCCGGAACUGCUCUGGAAACUGU
This 305-nucleotide ribosomal RNA is filed under the name uncultured bacterium. RNAcentral describes it as "bacterial SSU rRNA". It matches the Rfam family "Bacterial small subunit ribosomal RNA", at positions 335 to 636 of the family's 1533-position model. The record is from RNAcentral.